This 9649-nucleotide long non-coding RNA is filed under the name Nicotiana tabacum (common tobacco). RNAcentral's name for it is "long non-coding RNA (NTAB_LNC016836)". Lineage: Eukaryota; Viridiplantae; Streptophyta; Magnoliopsida; Solanales; Solanaceae. The record is from RNAcentral.
CUCCAAAUCUCUAGCCUCUCAUUGAUGCUGCCUCAUGUCUCGUCAAUUAGAAUAAUGUCAUCAACAAAUAGCAUGCACCAUGGCACCUCCCCUUGAAUAUGAUGAGUUAGUGCAUCCAUCACUAGGGCAAAUAGGAAUGGGCUGAGCGCAGACCCUUGGUGCAACCCCGUAAUAACUGGAAAUUGUUCAGAGUCGCCUCCUACUGUCCUAACCCGAGUCUUAGCUCCAGCAUACAUGUCUUUAAUCACCCUAAUAUAGUCAACCGAGACCCCUUUAUCCUCUAAGCAACUCCAUAAGACCUCCCUAGGAACCAUAUCGUACGCUUUCUCCAGAUCAAUAAACACCAUGUGGAGAUCCUUCUUCCUAUCCCUGUACUGUUCCACUAUCCUCCUAAUAAGGUGGAUAGCUUCUGUGGUAGAUCGCCCCGACAUAAACCCGAACUGGUUGUCUGAAAUAGACACCGUCCUUCGCACUCUCAUUUCUACCACUCUCUCCCAAACUUUCAUGGUAUGACUUAGAAAUUUGAUGCCCCUAUAGUUGUUACAGCUCUGGAUAUCACCUUUGUUCUUAUACAACGGGACCAUUGUACUCCACCUCCACUCUUCAGGCAUCCUAUUAGUCUUGAAUAUAACACUAAACAAUGCAGUAAGCCAUUCCAAGCCUGCUCUACCCACACACCUCCACAGUUCAACCGGAAUUUCGUCUGGCCCGCUAGCUCUGUCCCUUCUCAUCUUACGCAUUGCCUCCAUGACUUCGUCGAUCUCAAUGUCCCAACAAUUACUUAAUUCAUGGUGACUGUCGGCAUUCCUCAAUUCCCCAAGUAUAAUAUCCUGAUCCCCUUCUUCACUUAGAAGUUUAUGAAAGUAGGUCUGUCACCUCCUCUUAAUCUGGCCAUCUCCCAUCAAAACUUUGUCGUAAUCAUCUUUUAUGCACCUCACUUGGUCCAGAUCCCGAGUUGUCCUCUCUCUCGCCUUAGCGAGUCAGAAUAACUUCUUCUCCCACCUUUGUUCCUUAGUUCCUCGUACAGAUGAGCAAAAGUUGUUGUCUUAGCCUCCGUCACUGCCAUCUUCGCCUCCUUACUAGCUACCUUAUACCUUUGGCUUUUCUCUCUCUUCUCCUCCUCGUCAGUGCUCCCUACUAACCGCAGGUAAGCUGCCUUCUUUGCUUCCACUUUACCUUGGACAACUGCAUUCCACCACCAAUCUCCUUUGUGGCCACCAUUGUGGCCCGUAGAUAUCCAUAACACCUCUCUCGCCGCCUUUCUUAUACAGUCCGCCGUCGUCGACCACAUUGUGUUUGAGUCCCCACUACUUCUCCAAGCUCCCAUUGCCGAUAACCUUCCUUCCAACUCCAUAGCUUUAUCCUUAGUUAAGGCGCCCCACCUAAUCCUGGGGUGUCCUUGUACUGACCUCUUCUUCAUCCUCAUCCUAAUACAAAUUUCCAUCACCAAAAGCCUAUGCUGCGUUGAGAGGGUCUCACCUGGGAUAACCUUGCAGUCCUCGCACAACCUUCUGUUGCAUCUCCUGAGGAGGAGAUAGUCAAUCUGAGUCUUCGCCACCGAACUUUGGUAAGUAACCAAAUGUUCAUCCUGCUUCGUAAAACUCGAGUUCGCAAUGACUAGAUCAAAAACCUUGGCAAAGUCCAACAGCGAAAUGCCCCCUCCGUUCCGCUCCCCGAAACCAAAGCCGUCAUGCACCUCAGUGUACCUACCUGCAGAUGACCCAAUAUGACCAUUGAAAUCUCCUCCUAUGAAUAACCCCUCAGAAGGCGGUAUACUACGAACAAUCUCAUCCAACCCCUCCCAAAAGCGCCUUUUAAUAUCCUCAUUCAAGCCUGCUUGCGGUGCGUACGCGCUAAUGACAUUUAAAGUACCCUCACCUACCACCAACUUAAUAGUCAUUAGUCUAUCAUUCACCCGCCUGACCUCUACCACGGACUCUCUAAGAUGGCUAUCUACCAGGAUACCCACUCCAUUCUUACCCCUCAGGACACCAGAGUACCACAACUUAUAACCAUUCACGUUUUUCGCCCUCGAUCAUACCCACCUAGUCUCCUGGAUACACGCUAUAUUAAUCUUCCUCUUCUGCAGGAUUUUCGCCAACUCUAUGGAUUUACUCGUUAGUGAGCCUAUGUUCCAUGACCCGAUUCUCAACCUAUAGGCUCUCUUGCCCCCUCUACCUCCCCUACUACCCGACCCACCCCCUGACCCCAGCCCCACACUCUGCCCCACCCGAGGACAUGCCCUUAUUCUAUCAUCCCAGACUGCAGCCACUACACCUACAACAAUCUAGAGAAGACUCGCUAGUGUACAACGGACAACAAAUCAAACUAGAAGGAAACAAGUGGUAACUAGUAUCUUAGUUGAAAGGUUUAACUAUUGCGAAGUAAAGUAACAGUAAUUUAGCUAACACCAAAAGGGAAACAGUAAAACAGGAGGUACCAACUCCUGAUAACAAAACUUGUGGCUGAUUUGUUGUACUCGAUGUAGUUGUACGCUCACGCACCACUUCCUACCGCCCUUUGCUGAGACUCGCCCAGGUUGCUUUCCUUUGCCAGUGCUCGUGCGCCCAACUUGUCUCCAAUACUCCGAGAAUUCCUGAAAACACAGAAAAUACCACGACCCAAAAAUCAGAAGGAGCUAUCACCGCUACCACUGGUAUAGCCCCAACAAUAUAAAAUGUACCAAGAAAGGAGAAGAAGAAAACGAGAAUAUAAGGAGGUGGGGGCAGAUUUGGGACGCAAAAGGACAAAACCAAUAAACCUAAAAGGAAUGUUAAAAAUAAAAGGACAAAACAAAAAGAGAAACAACAAUGUACGACUAGACUGUGGAGUAGAGAAAAAAGGGUAAAAAGAAAACGUAUGAAAAUAAAUUCAAACCUAAAAAUCAGAUAUCCAACAAGCAAUAAAUAGAUUUCUCAACUCACCCUUCUGGUUAGAAACCAAUAUUUGACGUUUAGACAACUGUAACUAUUAUACGGAAAAUAAAAGAAAAAAGGAAGACAGAAAGUCGUCGUCUUUUUUUCCUUCACUUUCCGGCCGCGAACCAAAGACUCCGGCGUGAUUUUCUCCCUUUCAGUCAAAACCCACAAAUCUGUUACUGCUGAACAAAUAGAAGGAAACCAAAUAAAAGCUUAAUAGAGGGGAGGGGAGGGGAGGCAGUUGAUAAAUUAACUAAAGAAAUUAACUAAAAUAAAAAGGGUUUGUGGAGGUAGGUCAGGACCUUAUUUUAAUUUGGCUGUGAAGAGAAGAAUAAGGAGAGGGAUUGAUGAAUAUUCCAUUUCAUAUAUAAAUGUAUAUUUUUAAUUUCCAAACCCAGUUUCCCGUUGAUUGAAAGACAAAACAAGUGGAAAUCGAAAGACUUAAUAAAUGUCGUAAAUAUUCGAAAGACUUAACUCAUUCGUGAUUUUUUAUGUUACUUAUUCAAACAAUAAAUUGCCUAUAUUCCUGUAAACAAAGAUUAAACAAGUGAACAACCUCCACAUCCAAUAUUUUAUGAGAGUUUUCAAAGUGUUCUAUAAAUAUCUAAUCAAGAAACGGUACACACUUGAUAGAUAGCUACGGGUCAAUAAGGAUAAUCCGAUACACAAAAUAUUUCAUAUCCAUCCUCGGGAAAAAGGUAAUCCCUUUGUAAUUACAACGAUAACCUUAGUUAACUACUGCGCAAAAAUCAUCCCUAUGAUGUUACCAUAUAGUAGUACUUUCCCUUUAGAGGUCCUUUAGGGAGAGAUCCUAGUCCUAUAGUGUCUUGCAUUUUCUAAGCAAAACCUUAUUUGGCAGUUAGGUUUCCUUCAUUGUCCUGUCGUUUGUAUCACAUUAAAUUCCAUGCCUUCAAUGAUGAUUAUUGCAGUUAGCUAUUCGUUGACUUCUUUCUUCUGCCAAUUAAUUUGGUGUACACCUCAAAGUUUAAUUAAUUUUAUCCACCAAUGCUUAAGCAUAUAGUAAGAAAUAAUCACCUCGUAUUUUAUAUCCAUGCGACAAUUUGGAUCUUAGUUUUCCGUAUUUUUCACUCACUUCAUCUAUUACUAUGUCACUUCCUUGAGUAUCAACUCCUCUUAGUGAGAUUUAAACCUUACACAUAUAGCUAGUGUUGAAAAAUAAAGGAGAAUUAUCAAUGUCUAACUUUUAGGUUUAGAAUCAAGUCCUUUUUUCUUUUUAAAUGAUCUUUGGGACAUAGGAUUGAGUAAAUCAUGUGAUAUGCUUGGAACAGAAUAAAUUAAUAUAAAUAGGUAAAAUUAAAAAUAAGAUAAUGUAGUGGGUUUAUGUCCCAGGCUGAUUAGUACCCACUUGAGAAGCUGGCAAAGUGAGCGGCAAAUUUUAGUGCAAGGCACAUCUAGAGAAGCAGAACUGUACUCCAUUAAUGGAAUCAGAUGCUCAGCAGAAACACUCUUAUGGAAAACCUUUUACAGUAUUUGUCAUGAAAACUAAGUCCAAAAUGUUUCCACCUUUUUUUGUUUUAAUUUUUUAUUUUUUUUAAAAAUAGAACAGAAAGAUUCAAGAUUGGUGGGGUUAAUGGGAGUGCCUAAUUUCUCUGCUUAUCUAAAAUUCCAGUUACUAAUUUUUAUUACUAUAAAAGGUAACUCGGUCUCUUUUGCAUUGCUGCUGCUAUUGCUUGUUGCUUUAUUCUACUGUUCCUUGAGCCGAGGGUAUAUUGGAAAUGAACUCUCUAUUUUUAUAGGAUAGAGGUAAGGUCUGCGUACAUACUAUUCUUCCAAAUCCCAAAUACGAUAUUAAACUGGGUUUUUUGUUAGUGUUGUUGUUGUUGUUAUUGUUGUAACUCAGUCUCUGUCAUUGAAAAUACACACAUUUUGACCUUGUUUAGGCAGACCAACAUUUUUAAGGACAAAAGACAAUAAUUACCAUCCAAUUACCGGACAAUAAUGAAACAACUACUAAGAGUGUGUUUGGCUAAACUUAUAAGCUGGUCAUACUAGUUUAUAAACACUUUUCGGCUUAUCUACGUUUGAAAGACAUCAAAAGUGUUUAUAAGUCAAGUGAAAAUAAGUCAUGAGUUGACCAUUACUAACUUAUGACUUUCAAUUAUAAGCACUUUUAGUUUGACCAAAACUUUUACUAUUUUGUCCAUAUAUUAUUAUUAUAUAAUUCUGAAGUACAUUUAUCUUAAUAAAACUCUUAACUCUAUUCUUCACUUUCACCCGUCAUCUUUUCACGAGCUUAUUUCCUAGAAAUAUUGUUCACCAUCAUGAACAACAAAAAGCUAUUUAGCGUCAACAUAAAUCAAUCAAAUUAAUUUAAGUUAGAAAAAUUCUAUCUUGGCAUUUAAGGGUGUGGUCUUGUGGUCAACGAAGUGGGUGAGAACCAUGAGGUCUCAAUUUAAAUCCCGGCAGAGGCAAAAAACACUAGGUAAUUUCUUCUUAUCUAUCCAAGCCUUGGUGGAUAGAGUUACUUGGUACUUGUUGCUGGUGGAAGGUAGCAAAUAUCCCGUAGAAUUAAUCGAGGUACGCGCAAGCUGGCACGGACACCACAGUUAUAAAAAGAAAUCUAUCUUCUGUAAGUCGGCCUUCUUCAUCUCUUUGAAAAUGUGGUUGUUUUGUAUCAUUCAAAAUUCUAUUAUGAAAUAUGAACUAAAUUAUCUAAAUUUAAUUGCAUUGUGUUGGUAAUGAAAAAUGACGAUGUAAUAAUGAUCUUCUUAUUGUACUUUAGUCUUUAGCUCAUUGUUGCUAAAAUAAUAUUUACUUACUAAAUUUCAAUUUAAUCUAAUCAAUUUGGAACUAAAUGUAAAUCCAUAAGUUAAUUUAUACUUUAAUCAAUUUAGAAUUUGAAAUCUUGUAUGAGUAUAUAUUUAUUAGUGUGAACAAUUUAAGGGGCAUUGAAGUCAUUACAUCACAAGAAAAUGCUUAUCAACACCUAUUUACCAAAUAUUUUAAUUGCUUAUUAUCAGUUUUAGCAUAUAAAUCCAAACACAUAACUACUUAUUUAUUAAAUUAGUUUCAGCACUUAAAAGUAUCUAUAUAUCUAUAUAAAAGUGGGAAAUAGAAAAGUGAUGUGGCACCUCUCUCAAGCCAAGAAACAAAUUUAUCUUUUUUCUCCUUUUUUUUUAAUUUUUAUCAUUAUUCUAUCUUCAUAACUCUCACCUCAUUAUCUUCCUAACCAAUAUUUUUAAUAAUCUCAAUAACUCUUUUGCUUUUCAUAUUCAUAACUCCCAAAUAUUUAAUAUGUAAAUUUAUGACAAUUUAUCUCAUUAUUUUACAUUUUUCCUUCAACUAUCUUAUUUAAUCAAUCUAUUUAGCAUAAUGGAAUAAAAAAGAAAAUAAAAGCCUAAUGCAUCUGCGUAAUAAAGCCCGAAUGACCAGUAAAAUUAGUAGUUUUCUAAAACAGAGCCACAUUGCACUUAAAUAUCUUUUGCAUUUAUCUUUUAUUCUUUAUUUGUUUUAAAAUUUUAUUUUCAUAACUCACACCUCUUUAACUUCUACUCUUAAUAGUAUCCAUAAUUCCUAUGCUUUUCAUAACCUCCAAAUAUUUAAUUAAACAAUUUAAGAUACUUUAUGGUAUUCCUUUAUUUUUCCCUAUAUAAAUUCAUAACUUUUGUUUCAUGAGACCCCUACCCAAGGUUACCCUUUUCAUGUCGUAUUUGAAAUUGUAAUGGUGUCUUAUAUACCGCAGUAUUAGAUUCAUGUUUUAGUUUCGCUCGAGGAAGAAGGCUCUUGAAUGAUGAUAGAUUUGCGAGAGAGAGUAUCAACAACAGCUCGGGAAACUAUACAUUGAUUUUAUAUUUCUCUUUUCUUUUAUUUUCUUAUGAUUAAGAUUCCAAAUAGAAUGUGCGUUGUAUUUCUUUUCUUGUACUUUCUCUAUGACUUUGAGAAAUGGUAUACUUAUGUAAUUUGCUUUAAGAUCGGUGUAAUUUUUAUGAAUAACUAGCAUGUUCUUUCUGAUAUUGAUGUAUUUUAGAUAUAUACUAAAGGUCAAAACACAUAUAAAUACAUAUGUAUAUCGUCCAAUAGUUCAAGAAGAAUAUUAAGGAAUAACAACUUGGAACACUCAACAAAUAACAUUGCUAAAAAUAAUUUGGUAGUUGAUUCACUAAAGGAAGUGAUAAAAGCAAGAACCGUCAAAAAGGAGUUAUGCAAGAAUUCAAGGUAAUACGUAAGAUCGAAUCUUUUGUUUUUCUAUUUUCUUUUUUUAAAAUAUUAAGCAAAACCAUCUUCAAGUGACUAUAACGGACAAGAACUGAGUUUACAAAUCUCAUUCUUAAAAGAUUAACUGAUUAAGAAAUACAUAUCAAUUUUACAUAUAUAGAUUAAUUCCCUUAUAGAUAUGGGGACAAUUGUAUCCUUUCAUGAUAAACUUGUAACAUGUAUAGUGUUGAAGGUAAAUGAAUUGCAACCAUAAUGUCAUUAAAAAUGCUUAAUAUAUAUAUAAUUAUUUAAUAUUCUGAUUUUUUAUAAUGACCGCGUGAAACGCGGACAAAUACACUAGUUUUUCAAUACUUGAUGCUUAUUAGUCACUUUAAAUCAACUAAGCCAAACGGGCUCUAAAUGGUUUAACUUUUCAAUUAGCGAGUCAUGAAAUGGAAACAUAAAGCAGUCAGCCAUUCAAUAUUACCUAAUUCAUUACUAUACUAUAUUUCUAUAAUAAGAGUACACUGUUGUAGCAAGAAACCUCGCUUCAUGCAAGUUGAAACCUUUGUGAGACAAUGAAGCAACUUUUGUCUAGUUUAAUUUCUGGUGGACCAAUUCUUGAAUGGCAUUUGAUGUGGACAGAACUUUCCAAUCAACAAACGACCGUACACUAUAAAACUUUUUCAAGAAUAAAUAAUGACACAACAUAGCUCCCAUUUUCUAUUAAGGAAGCCUGUUUUAAUUUCUCUACUCCUCAUAGACAUAUAUAUACACCAAAAUGUAUAUCCUAUGAUCAACCAAACAUAUCACAAGAUCCUCCCCACUUGUAUUUUCUAGGCUGCCCACCUCAUAUUCUUCCCUAGAUAAAAUCAAAGUCAUAUGCUAGAGUUCUUGUUCAGUAUAGUGGAAUGAAGGAUGAAUCCUUACUACCAAACUUCAUGUUCAAGCAAUGACUCAAUAACAGAACAAGAAAAUCCUACUUCUUUAGAUACACAGCCAAGUUUUCAUUCAGUUCCUUCAGCCAUAUCACUAUCUCAUGAUCAGAGUUUAUCUCUUAAUCUUGGCACUCAACAUCAAUGCAUAGCUACUCUAAAGGGACAGAAUACCUAUACAUCUUCCCUUGUACUUGCUGGUAAAUUCCUUUUUACUGGCUCUUCUGAUAAAGAAAUUUGUAUGUGGAAGCAAAAAGCUCUAACUUCCACAAUAGAUGGUAUAGUUGACACAGUUAUAGCAGGCAAAGGUGCAGUUAAGUCACUAGUAAUAUUGGCUGAUAAGGUCUUUAGUGCUCAUCAAGAUCACAAAAUCCGAGCCUGGAAAAUCGAAAACCAUAAUUCAGAUGCCCCUAAUAUUGUUCAUCUAUCCACUCUCCCUUUACUUAGUGACAGAGCCCUGAAAUUUAUGAUACCAAAAAACCAUGUUAAAAUCAGGCGCCACAAGAAAUCUACAUGGGUGCAUCAUGUUGACACAGUCUCAGCACUAGCCCUUUCGAACGAUGAGUUGUUCCUCUACUCUGUUUCAUGGGAUCGAACACUUAAAAUUUGGCGAACCACUGAUUUUAAAUGCUUGGAAUCUAUAGCAAAUGCACAUGAUGACGCGAUCAACGCUCUAGCAAUAUCACAAGAGGGGGAUGUUUUUACAGGAUCAGCUGACAAUAAAAUCAAGAUUUGGAGAAGGGGAUUUGAAGAGAAAAAGCAUUCACUGGUUGGUACACUAGAAAAACAUAAAUCUGGUGUAAAUGCACUAGCAGUUGGGGAAAGCACUCAUUCUGUUUUAUAUUCGGGUGCUUGUGAUAGGUCAAUAUUAGUAUGGGAGAAGAAUGAAGGUGGUGAUAUGGUGUUAGUGGGUGCACUCAGGGGUCAUAAAAAGCCCAUAUUGUGUCUGGCUGUAGUGGCAGAUUUGGUGUGCAGUGGUUCAGCUGAUAAAACAGUGAGAGUGUGGAGAGGGGUUGAGAGAUGCUACUCUUGUCUUACUGUUAUUCAAGGACACAAUGGACCAGUGAAGUGCCUGACUGUGACAAGUGAUCAACAAAUUCCAUCUGAUACCACCUCUUCUUAUGUCCUAUAUACUGCUAGUUUAGAUGGUGAAACCAAGGUUUGGAAGAUUUUUAUUCCACUUCUAUAAAGGUUUUACUCCAUCUCUUUGAUCUUUCACCUUUGCUCCAAUGAGGGGCAUGAUGCAUCGUAUUUGUUGGCUGAUAGAUUUGUCUGAAGAAACUCAUGCUCCAGAGUUGCCAGUUCCAGAAUUCUGUAAAUUUUAUUCUGCAACUUUAGAUUGUGGGCAUAUGACCAAAAGAAGAAAAUAUCGACAAGAUUUUACCUUUUUCUUCUUUAGUUGGUUUCGCAGUGCAAGUUUAUUCAAUUGAAAAUGGCUAUCACUACAAAAUGAUUAUGCUUCCUAAACUGAAACCAAAUUUGGUUGAUACACCCCCCCCCCCCCCCUUUUAAGUCCUAUAUUUUGUGAUCUUUUAAUUUAUUUUUACUUUUUUUUAUCUGUGAACCCAAUUAAGCUUCACGAACUUGGCCUAUUACAAACCGGAAAUUCAUCCUGUUUAACAUUCUGUCGCACAGUUUACC